CCCUUAGAUGUUCUGGGCCGCACGCGUGCUACACUGACCGGCGCAACAAGCUUUUUUCCUUGGCUCGACAGGCCUGGGUAAUCUUCGAACGCCGGUCGUGAUGGGGAUAGAUUAUUGCAACUAUUAAUCUUCAACGAGGAAUACCUAGUAGGCGCAUGUCAUCAGCGUGCGUCGAUUACGUCCCUGCCCUUUGUACACACCGCCCGUCGCUCCUACCGAUUGAAUGGUCCGGUGAGUUUUUUGGACUGUGGCAACGGUUUCGGUUCGCCGUACUGAUGCCGCGGGAAGAUACGCAAACCUUAUCAUUUAGAGGAAGGAGAAGUCGUAACA
This 330-nucleotide ribosomal RNA is filed under the name uncultured eukaryote. RNAcentral describes it as "partial 18S ribosomal RNA". It matches the Rfam family "Eukaryotic small subunit ribosomal RNA", at positions 1470 to 1796 of the family's 1831-position model. The record is from RNAcentral.